RNAcentral lists this ribosomal RNA (554 nucleotides) under uncultured rumen protozoa. Its description in RNAcentral is "SSU rRNA". It matches the Rfam family "Eukaryotic small subunit ribosomal RNA", at positions 324 to 961 of the family's 1831-position model. The record is from RNAcentral.
GAUGGUAGUGUAUUGGACUACCAUGGCUCUCACGGGUAACAGGGAAUUAGGGUUCGAUUCUGGAGAAGGAGCCUGAGAAACGGCUACUACAUCUACGGAAGGCAGCAGGCGCGUAAAUUACCCAAUCCUGACUCAGGGAGGUGGUGACAAGAUAUAACAACGAGACCUUAAAUCUCGAUUGUAGUGAGGGUUUUCUAAAUAGAACCUAUAGUACGAUUAGAGGGCAAGUCUGGUGCCAGCAGCCGCGGUAAUUCCAGCUCUAAUAGCGUAUAUUAAAGUUGCUGCAGUUAAAAAGCUCGUAGUUGGAUUUCAAGGAUUGUAUUCUCUUAUGGGAAUACUUCCUACUAGUCCUCAGACUGUUACUGUGAGAAAAUUAGAGUGUUUCAAGCAGGCUUUCGCAAGAAUACAUUAGCAUGGAAUAACGAAUGUAUUUAGAAUCGUGGUAUAAUUCUAAAUUACGAUUAAUAGAGACAGUUGGGGGCAUUAGUAUUUAAUUGUCAGAGGUGAAAUUCUUGGAUUUGUUAAAGACUAACUUAUGCGAAAGCAUUUGCCAA